GGGGUUGUAGCUCAGUGGUAGAGCACUUGCCUUGUACAUGUGAGGCCCUGGGUUCGAUCCUCAGCACCA
This 69-nucleotide transfer RNA is filed under the name Ictidomys tridecemlineatus (thirteen-lined ground squirrel). RNAcentral's name for it is "Spermophilus tridecemlineatus (thirteen-lined ground squirrel) tRNA". It matches the Rfam family "tRNA". From Rfam's summary of the family: Transfer RNA (tRNA) molecules are approximately 80 nucleotides in length. Their secondary structure includes four short double-helical elements and three loops (D, anti-codon, and T loops). Lineage: Eukaryota; Metazoa; Chordata; Mammalia; Rodentia; Sciuridae. The record is from Rfam by way of RNAcentral.